GAAAAAUGCAAAACCCACAGGUCUUUUUCUGCUACUUCAACCUUCAGACAAAGUAUUGCACUAUACCAAAAUUUACCCUAAUAGCCUGAUAAAAUAUCUUCAUUUUAUUUUAAUAUCUUUUUAGUUUUAUUUUUAAAACUCUGAUAGGAAAUAGGCACUCAGCAGGAAGUGUCAGAAGUGUUUUCGUGUGAUGUGGACAUUAAAAAACUGCACAAUUUUACCUCUGAGCUGUGGACUAUAAUAAUAUAUUAAUGGUUUUCAGCCAUUGUCCCCACAGGUUUUGACUAGUUAAGCAUAUCUGGAAGUUUUGAUAAGAGAUGAUUAUUCAUUUCAGUGCUUUAGGGUGUGCUGCAUUGAUGCUCCAAAAUGCUCAAAAAUCACAAGUUAAGUCUUUUGGGAUAAUGGGGGGUGGGGAUUGCUCACAGUGCGCUGAAAGUAGAUGGCGCAAGACAGAGCAAAGGAGCCAGAGGAGUGCAGGAGGAGACAGUGGAAGCGUGGGUCGGCCCUUGAGACAUGUACUGAGUGGAUGUGGAAUGACAGCACAAGCCUAAUUAGUCUUGGAUGCCAGGGCUGCUACAGGGAGGUCGGUGCAAGUGAUCAAGCCAUUCAUGCAUUCAAGCACUUGCCCGCAGGCAUUCUCCGCCAACAGCCUGGAUCCCCAGAGCUCAAGUAUUACCUCAUCCCACUCAGAGGCAAAGGACGGCAUGCGCUCCAUGGAUGGCUGCCCAGAGCUGCAGUUAGACAUCGACCCACAGCGGCCAGCCAGUCCGCCAUCCUCCUCAACAUGUGGUGACCCCAACAAGUCAGAAUCCGACUUAGAUAAACUUCGAAUCAGCCCUAGUUCUGUAGGUUUGACUUUGACUGCCAUGGAUGAUGCAGGCUCAGCGGAAACUUCAUUUGAGUCGUUGACGUCAUCCUUUGGAUUCUGGAUCACCUUGGUGGAGUUGGAAACUGGCAUGCACUCUGCCAUUGUUUUGGAGCUGCCAAGUUCAGUGCAGCUCAGGGUCCGUAGUUUCCUGCAGUGCUCUGACUUCUUUAGUCAGUCCAGAGAGGGAUCCAAAGUCUUUGUGGAGACUUAAACUUCUGGUGGUCGAAAGUCACUCAGUGCUAGUGCUGAAAGAAUCAUGAAAUAUAAGUACUCUAGACUGAGGGAAUCUGCCAGUACACCAACUGACUUCAAUUCAUGCAAAAAGCUCUUGUUUGGAGGGAAAGCAUAGAAGUGAGAGACUUGUACACAGAAACAAUCAUUAAGGUCCACCCACUAGUUGUAUCCUGUUGCCCUCCCCUUAGUGACUGACUGCCUCAAAAUGUGCUGUGCCUUUAUCCUCUCAGCUAUGACUUUUUUGAUACUUCAACAGUCCUGUAACUCAUGUGCUUCUGCAGUUCCUAAAGAAAUACUCACAGUAGUAUCUUAACUAGGAAACCAGGAUUAGCUCAGUCAUAAAGCACAUAUGCAUGCAUCCAUAAAAUCAAUCCAUAGUAUUUUAAUGUUUGACCUGAUACCUGAUGGCUGACUUAAACUCAUCACUGUUAGCUGAAAUGAACAUAAAAUUUCUUACUGAGAAAUCUAUAAAGUCCUUAGAACUGCUUCUGCUUACCUGUUUAUUUAUUGACCCCCGGUGCCUUCCCUGCUCCAUAUAUUUAUGUCCAUCCUGUUCUGAGGUUGUUUUCAGACUCCUUUGGAGUACCAGCUCUGUCCUGUAGUGAAGAUCAGAGGACGGGAGGAUCCCAAAGUCUGGCCUUGUUCAGACUGACAGCUGGGAUAAUCAGGUUACUGAUGCACUGGGUGGCUGCUCCAUUUUAAAAAAGGAGAGAGAUGAGGUUCCUUCUUUCCUGUCUGUCUGUGCAGGAGACUGAAGUUAGUUAAGUUCUGUUAUUGUAGGACCGACAUGGUGGAUAUAGUCUCAGAUCACUGCUGAGCCAGGGUUACGUGUCCUAAAAAUGUCCACAUAUGCAUUUAUCUAUUAAUGUAUUUAUUUAUUGUGUCCAUCUGUCUGUCUGUCUUUCCAGAAUAACUCUGUUACAGUGUCAAUGACCUAAAGUGUAGCAGAAUACAGGAUACUUCUCCAAUUCAGCCUGAUGAGGAGCUUUAUAGACCUUUAUGAACUUAUUUUAUUUCACAAAGUCAGAUUUUAAUGCCAAAAAAAAUUGAUUUUCUCUAAAAAUAUGGAAUAUAAAAUAUGAAUGCUUGUGCAGGUAAAAAAAAAAAGAUAGCGAAUGAUGAUAUGAAAGGUAUGUAGAAAAUAUCUCCCACACUCUAUGCUUUUAAUUACUCUUCUCAAAGGUAGCUGAUGCUGAUAAAAUGUUCUCUUAGGAGUUGUCCUUAGUAUUCACACGCAACAGUAGCCUCUGUGUCCUGUGCCCUCAAGAAGCCAAGUUCCUUGCUCACCUCUUCCUUAUGGGCAGCACUGGUAUGUGCAUGACAGAAAAGAUAACAUUCUUCACUCGGUACAGAGGAUUCACACAGCCACACACUGCUUAGCUGGCAAUAACAAAAGCCACAUCUAAUGAAGGAAACAGAAGUGCACAUAAAAUGAUCCCUAUGACUGUGAGGACAAUGAAACAGUUUAAGUUAUCCAUAUCUUCUGUGGCAUAUAUACAGACAAUAGAGGCUCUGGAAUACAACAUGUUUGAGGAUAAUGAUGUCUUCACAGCAUAUUAGAGUGACUAAAAUAAAACAUGCAUCUCCUCCUUCAGCAGGCUGGCUGCUGAGCCUAAGGCUAAAGACAGUGGUGACUCAUGAACACUCUUCUCUAACAAAGACAUGCACACUGUGCAACUCAGAGAAACAGCGCAUAUAGUAAGCACACACUUGAG
RNAcentral lists this long non-coding RNA (2817 nucleotides) under Mastacembelus armatus (zig-zag eel). RNAcentral's name for it is "lncRNA (ENSMAMG00000026616.1)". The record is from RNAcentral. Lineage: Eukaryota; Metazoa; Chordata; Actinopteri; Synbranchiformes; Mastacembelidae.